CGCAAAACUAGCGAAGUAGCGGCGAUCGGGGCACGUAUAUAACUACUUAGUAGUUUUGUUUGCUUGUUGUUUUGUUAGUUACACAUUGUAUAGCAGCAGGUAGAUAUAAUGUACCACCAACUGUGAAGUGUGUGAACGAUAAGAAAGAUCGAGUGUCGACUCUGUCUUUCAUGCACCAUAGACCACAAAAUCAUCAUUUCCUAUAGUUUUAAGUUUCGUGUCGCUAUAGUGUCAGUACAUAUUUUAUUUUAAAUCCUACUAGUUAAAUUAAGAUGCCAAAUUAAUUCCAGAUUAGAUCAAUUUCAUUUUAAAAAUAAAGCGACGUAAAAUCGUAUUUUAUAGAAAGUUGUUUUACUAUGAUAGUCAUCAUCACAAGGCCAGCGGCUUGGAAUUAUAUUUUGUUUGUUGACAUGACUUCUACUGACCACAAAGUAAAGGCACCACGAAAACCUCUCAACGUUUCGAACGAUUCUAAGUUUUACAUAACUAUAUUUAGGUGAAGGAAAGACAGAUGUAGGAGUAAAAACUUUAUUUGAGUAUAAAAUCAGCCUACCAGAUGUGGGUGCGCGGCCCGCUGAUGCUGCAGCAGCUUGGCGCGCGUGACGUACU
Long non-coding RNA from Trichoplusia ni (cabbage looper), 609 nucleotides. RefSeq lists it as uncharacterized. The transcript is spliced from 3 exons. NCBI's taxonomy places the organism in Eukaryota, Metazoa, Arthropoda, Insecta, Lepidoptera, Noctuidae. The record is from RefSeq and is a predicted model, not a curated record.